CAUUAUUGUGACAUGCAAACCCAUGGUGAAUGUGUUGUUAUUACCUUGGUAACUUGGAGUAUUGUUCUACCGGCGAGAUUCGUAACUAAGGGUACGGUUAGGAUCGGAGAAAAUACUGAAAUCUCCCGGCUAGGAUCGUAACUUGGAGGGUGCGACCCUGGGAUAUAGGGUAUAAUUGAAAUAGCAAUUGCUGCCAGCUAGGUUCGUGACUACGAGGGUACGACUAGGAUCGGAAAAUUUUAGAUAAGAAUACUGGGUGACCGGCGAGGUUCGUGACUACGAGGGUACGACUUGGAUCGGCGGAGUAAUUCUUAGGAAAGGAGUCUGAGAAGGAGAAAAAGAAAGACAGAGAUAACGAGGAAGGAGCCGAGGGUGGAACGAAAAAGGAAGUUACUAAGAAAGUUGAAAAGUGAAUUACAGGAGAAGGUGAUUCACUCAAUCCAACCAGGAGACUGGGUGUGGAUCCAGUCCCUGAGGAGAAAAGAACUGGAAGCAGCCACAGUGGGAGGGGCCAUACCAAGUGCUCCUGGUAACAGCCUUUGCGGUGAGAAUAGCUGAAAGAGCUACCUGGGUUCAUAUCACACAUUGCGGGAGGGUAAGACACACUGACACUGUCGAACAAUCACAGAGUUGGAGAAGAACCGAAUACCAAUAAGGUUCGGGGGUUACCUCUCUAACGAAGAUUCCCUAACCCGCCCGAUCCUCACUGUGUGCGUUCAUAGAAGUGAAAGUGUGGGUUGGCCUCUAGCCAGUGAUAUGUUCUCCGGGAGGGGGUGCGGCUUUACAGAGGUACUGGUCGGUCUGAGCUGUCUGAUUGUGGGAGCCAUAUUCCUAAUACACCAUGAACCACUCGAGAAGUCAGAAAGUGGUAACUUGACCCAUAGUGUAGAAGAUGAGGAGUUUUUAUGCCCUAGGUACAAAAGGUCAUUCGAGCUGGAUAAAAAGGAAGUGAGAGUAGAGUUAGGGAAGGAUGUCUCAAUAGAGUUCUAUGCAGACCAAAUGGGGUCCCUAACCUCCUGGCAGUCUAGGACUCUGACUUCAUGGGGAAGAUAUCUGUGUAGAUCCCUGUGUAACUCAUGGAAUCAGGUCAUAGCUCACACAGGGAGAGAAGGCUAUGUCAAUCCACACACCCAAUAUAGAAACAGAUGGAGUAUAGUGAAAGCCAGGGUUUUUGACUGCAAUCCAGAGCAAGGGAAGUAUUGCUUAAAGGUAUGAAUUACCAUUAAAAGCGUUAAAAAAGGAGGAUUUAGGGUUAUGGUAUGUUGACCUUGACCAGACCAGUGUCGACACUACGGUACCAUUCCGAGUAGUAGAGGUUAGGACAGGAUACCAGUUGUACCCCUGAUAAAACGGACAUUACUCGUGUAGUCAUCCAGAGCCAAGGACUGGUGAGGAUAGUUCAGACGAAAGAUCUUAAGGAAGUGAUUGAGGUGGAGACUUGGUUUGGGGAUUCCAACCUAUGGCUGGAAUGGAUUCAGUAUACAGCUAGAUCAGUAGCUAAAGACAGUUACACUGAUCUGCAUUAUCUGUAUCCUAUGUGCCCAUUAGAUCCAGACUUCCCCAUUUCACAGUCGCAGGAGGAGACUAUUAUUGUAUGGCUUGACACAAUAUACACGGACGGGAUGUAGGGGAAGUGAGAACACGCAAUAGAACAGAGAGAGAAGGAGUGUUCCGUCUGGGUCCUUAGACGAUAGAGCUUACAUUGAUAGCAUUGGGGUUCCAAGGGGGUUGUCUAAUGAGUUUAAAACUAGGAAUUAGAUAUUGGCUGGAUUGGAAUCAGCAUCUUCUGGUGGUCAACCCUCAAUAAAAAUGUAGAUUGGAUAAAUUAUAUUUAUUAUAACCAACAGCAGAUCAUCAACUAUACUAGAGAUGUGAUAAAAGGAUUAGCAGAACAGACAGAGGCAACUAGUUUGAUGGCUUGGCAGAAUAGAAUUGCAUUGGAUGUGUUACUGGUGGAGAAGGGUGGUGUGUGUGUGAUAUUCGGAUCAAUGUGCUGUACUUUCAUCCCAAAUAACACAGCUACAGAUGGAUCAGUGGCCAAGGCCCUGGCAGGUUUAACCACAUUGGCUAACGAGUUAGUAGAGAACUCUGGGGUGGAUACCUCACUGACUGGGUGAUGCGAUAGUAUGUUUGGAAAAAUGGAAAAAUGUUAUAAUCACUGUGUUAUGGGCUGCUUUCACCGGUAUGAGUGUGUUUGUGUUGUGUGGUUGUUGUCUGGUCCCGUGUGCGAGAGGUCUCAUUUCCAGGGUUCUGGAGAGAUUGAUAACGGAGCAGAUGGGCAACCGGAAUGAUGCCCUUGAUGGAAGUGACCCCAGUGGAUACUGAAUCAACCUCUGGGCAAAGGAGGGGUCUGUCUGAGGACGAUCCUUGGUUUGCUGUUGAGGAAGUGGUAGAAUAAAGCUUAUCCAAAAUGUUCUUAUAUGUGUUGAAUGUAGUGACAGGUGGAUGUGAAGGUUUUAAGUUCUGGGACAAAGAGUCUGUCCCACACAUGUUAGGUGUAGCCCCU
Molecule: long non-coding RNA, 2506 nt
Filed under: Salmo salar (Atlantic salmon)
Lineage: Eukaryota; Metazoa; Chordata; Actinopteri; Salmoniformes; Salmonidae
Description: lncRNA (ENSSSAG00000105897.1)
Source: RNAcentral